This 70-nucleotide transfer RNA is filed under the name Ictidomys tridecemlineatus (thirteen-lined ground squirrel). RNAcentral describes it as "Spermophilus tridecemlineatus (thirteen-lined ground squirrel) tRNA". It matches the Rfam family "tRNA". From Rfam's summary of the family: Transfer RNA (tRNA) molecules are approximately 80 nucleotides in length. Lineage: Eukaryota; Metazoa; Chordata; Mammalia; Rodentia; Sciuridae. The record is from Rfam by way of RNAcentral.
GGGGAUAUAGUUCAGUUGGUAGAACGACUGCCUCACAUGCACAAGGCCCUGGGUUCAAUACCCAGCACCA